RNAcentral lists this ribosomal RNA (253 nucleotides) under uncultured bacterium. RNAcentral describes it as "partial 16S ribosomal RNA". It matches the Rfam family "Bacterial small subunit ribosomal RNA", at positions 524 to 776 of the family's 1533-position model. The record is from RNAcentral.
UACGUAGGGGGCUAGCGUUGUCCGGAAUCAUUGGGCGUAAAGCGCGUGUAGGCGGUCCGGUAAGUCCGCUGUGAAAGUCGGGGGCUCAACCCUCGAAUGCCGGUGGAUACUGUCGGGCUAGAGUUCGGAAGAGGCGAGUGGAAUUCCCGGUGUAGCGGUGAAAUGCGCAGAUAUCGGGAGGAACACCUAUGGCGAAGGCAGCUCGCUGGGACGUUACUGACGCUGAGACGCGAAAGCGUGGGGAGCAAACAGG